RNAcentral lists this ribosomal RNA (1779 nucleotides) under Brassica rapa (field mustard). RNAcentral's name for it is "SSU rRNA". It matches the Rfam family "Eukaryotic small subunit ribosomal RNA". The record is from RNAcentral. Lineage: Eukaryota; Viridiplantae; Streptophyta; Magnoliopsida; Brassicales; Brassicaceae.
CCUGGUUGAUCCUGCCAGUAGUCAUAUGGUUGUUUCAAAGAUUAAGCCAUGCAUGUGUAAGUAUGAACGAAUUCAGACUAUGAAAUUGCGAAUGGCUCAUUAAAUCAGUUAUAGUUUGUUUGAUGGUAACUACUACUCGGAUAAUCGUAGUAAUUCUAGAAGGGAUGCAUUUAUUAGAGAAAAGAUCGACGCGGGCUCUGCCCGUUGCUCUGAUGAUUCAUGAUAACUCGACGGAUCGCAUGGCCUUAGUGCUGGCGACGCAUCAUUAAAAUUUCUGCCCUAUCAACUUUCGAUGGUAGGAUAGUGGGCUACCAUGGUGGUAAUGGGUGACGGAGAAUUAGGGUUCGAUUCCUGAGAGGGAGCCUGAGAAACGGCUACCACAUCCAAGGAAGGCAGCUGGCACGCAAAUUACCCAAUCCUGACACGGGGAGGUAGUCACAAUAAAUUACAAUACCGGGCUCUUUGAGUCUGGUAAUUGGAAUGAGUACAAUCUAAAUCCAUUAACGAGGAUCCAUUGGAGGGCAAGUCUGGUGCCAGCAGCCGCGGUAAUUCCAGCUCCAAUAGCGUAUAUUUAAGUUGUUGCAGUUAAAAAGCUCGUAGUUGAACCUUGGGAUGGGUCGCCCGGUGCGCCUUUGGUGAGCACCGGUCGGCUUGUUUCUUCUAUCGGCGAUAUGCUCGUGGCCUUAACUGGCCGGGUCGUGCCUCCGACGCUGUAACUUUGAAGAAAUUAGAGUGCUCAAAGCAAGCCUACGCUUUGUAUACAUUAGCAUGGGAUAACAUCAUAGGAUUUCGAUCCUAUUGUGUUGGCCUUCGAGAUCGGAGUAAUGAUUAACAUGGACAGUCGGGGGCAUUUGUAUUUCAUAGUCAGAGGUGAAAUUCUUGGAUUAUGAAUGACGAACAACUGCGAAAGCAUUUGCCAAGGAUGUUUUCAUUAAUCAAGAACGAAAGUUGGGGGCUCGAAGACGAUCAGAUACCGUCCUAGUCUCAACCAUAAACGAUACCGACCAGGGAUCAGCGGAUGUUGCUUUUAGCACUCCGCUGGCACCUUAUGAGAAAUCAAAUUUUUUGGGUUCCGGGGGGAGUAUGGUCGCAAGGCUGAAACUUAAAGGAAUUGACGGAAGGGCACCACCAGGAGUGGAGCCUGCGGCUUAAUUUAACUCAACACGGGGAAACUUACCAGGUCCAGACAUAGUAAGGAUUGACAGACUGAGAGCUCUUUCUUGAUUCUAUGGGUGGUGGUGCAUGGUCGUUCUUAGUUGGUGGUGCGAUUUGUCUGGUUAUUUCCGUUAACGAACGAGACCUUAGCCUGUUAACUAGCUACAUGCAGGCAUCCUUUCACAGCCAGCUUCUUAGAGGGACUAUGCCCGUUUAGGCCAUGGAAGUUUGAGGCAAUAACAGGUCUGUGAUGCCCUUAGAUGUUCUGGGUCGCGACGCUGCGUGCUACACUGAUGUAUUCAACGAGUUCACACCUUGGCCGGAUUGACAGGCCGGGUAAUCUUUGAAAUUUCAUCGUGAUGGGGAUAGAUAAUUGCAAUUGUUGGUAUUCAACAAGGAAUUCCUAGUAAGCGCGAAGUCAUCAGCUCGCGUUGACUACGCCCCUGCCCUUUGUACACACACCGCCCCGUCGCUCCCUACCGAUUGAAUGAUCCAGUGAAGUGUUCGGAUCGGGGUGGCGUGGGUGGUUUUUGCUAUCUGCGACGUCAUGAGAAGUCCACUAAACCUUACAAUUUAGAGGAAGGAGAAGUCAGAACAAGGUUUCCGUAGGUGAACCUCCUGCGG